Molecule: ribosomal RNA, 2305 nt
Filed under: Salmonella enterica subsp. enterica serovar Typhi str. CT18
Lineage: Bacteria; Pseudomonadati; Pseudomonadota; Gammaproteobacteria; Enterobacterales; Enterobacteriaceae
Description: partial 23S ribosomal RNA
Rfam family: Bacterial large subunit ribosomal RNA
Source: RNAcentral
GGGUUGUGAGGUUAAGCGACUAAGCGUACACGGUGGAUGCCCUGGCAGUCAGAGGCGAUGAAGGGCGUGCUAAUCUGCGAUAAGCGCCGGUAAGGUGAUAUGAACCGUUAUAACCGGCGAUACCCGAAUGGGGAAACCCAGUGUGAUUCGUCACACUAUCAUUAACUGAAUCCAUAGGUUAAUGAGGCGAACCGGGGGAACUGAAACAUCUAAGUACCCCGAGGAAAAGAAAUCAACCGAGAUUCCCCCAGUAGCGGCGAGCGAACGGGGAGGAGCCCAGAGCCUGAAUCAGCAUGUGUGUUAGUGGAAGCGUCUGGAAAGGCGCGCGAUACAGGGUGACAGCCCCGUACACAAAAGCGCAUAUGCUGUGAGCUCGAUGAGUAGGGCGGGACACGUGGUAUCCUGUCUGAAUAUGGGGGGACCAUCCUCCAAGGCUAAAUACUCCUGACUGACCGAUAGUGAACCAGUACCGUGAGGGAAAGGCGAAAAGAACCCCGGCGAGGGGAGUGAAAAAGAACCUGAAACCGUGUACGUACAAGCAGUGGGAGCCCCACCACUAAGCCAGUGGUGAACUCCACAUACGCAUCCUUUGCUGAGGAGACGGUUAACGGAGCGAAAGCGACGUUCAACCUCAAAAGAAGCAGAGGGGGCUUAGUGGUGGGGUGACUGCGUACCUUUUGUAUAAUGGGUCAGCGACUUAUAUUCUGUAGCAAGGUUAACUGUAUAGGGGAGCCGGAGGGAAACCGAGUCUUAACCGGGCGUUAAGUUGCAGGGUAUAGACCCGAAACCCGGUGAUCUAGCCAUGGGCAGGUUGAAGGUUGGGUAACACUAACUGGAGGACCGAACCGACUAAUGUUGAAAAAUUAGCGGAUGACCUGUGGCUGGGGGUGAAAGGCCAAUCAAACCGGGAGAUAGCUGGUUCUCCCCGAAAGCUAUUUAGGUAGCGCCUCGUGAAUUCAUCUCCGGGGGUAGAGCACUGUUUCGGCUAGGGGGCCAUCCCGGCUUACCAACCCGAUGCAAACUGCGAAUACCGGAGAAUGUUAUCACGGGAGACACACGGCGGGUGCUAAUGUCCGUCGUGAAGAGGGAAACAACCCAGACCGCCAGCUAAGGUCCCAAAGUCAUGGUUAAGUGGGAAACGAUGUGGGAAGGCCCAGACAGCCAGGAUGUUGGCUUAGAAGCAGCCAUCAUUUAAAGAAAGCGUAAUAGCUCACUGGUCGAGUCGGCCUGCGCGGAAGAUGUAACGGGGCUAAACCAUGCACCGAAGCUGCGGCAGCGACACCGUGUGUUGUUGGGUAGGGGAGCGUUCUGUAAGCCUGUGAAGGUGUGCUGUGAGGCAUGCUGGAGGUAUCAGAAGUGCGAAUGCUGACAUAAGUAACGAUAAAGCGGGUGAAAAGCCCGCUCGCCGGAAGACCAAGGGUUCCUGUCCAACGUUAAUCGGGGCAGGGUGAGUCGACCCCUAAGGCGAGGCCGAAAGGCGUAGUCGAUGGGAAACGGGUUAAUAUUCCCGUACUUGGUGUUACUGCGAAGGGGGGACGGAGAAGGCUAUGUUGGCCGGGCGACGGUUGUCCCGGUUUAAGCGUGUAGGUAUGUGUUCCAGGUAAAUCCGGUUCACUUUAACACUGAGGCGUGACGACGAGGCACUACGGUGCUGAAGCAACAAAUGCCCUGCUUCCAGGAAAAGCCUCUAAGCAUCAGGUAACAUCAAAUCGUACCCCAAACCGACACAGGUGGUCAGGUAGAGAAUACCAAGGCGCUUGAGAGAACUCGGGUGAAGGAACUAGGCAAAAUGGUGCCGUAACUUCGGGAGAAGGCACGCUGACACGUAGGUGAAGUGAUUUACUCACGGAGCUGAAGUCAGCCGAAGAUACCAGCUGGCUGCAACUGUUUAUUAAAAACACAGCACUGUGCAAACACGAAAGUGGACGUAUACGGUGUGACGCCUGCCCGGUGCCGGAAGGUUAAUUGAUGGGGUCAGCGCAAGCGAAGCUCCUGAUCGAAGCCCCGGUAAACGGCGGCCGUAACUAUAACGGUCCUAAGGUAGCGAAAUUCCUUGUCGGGUAAGUUCCGACCUGCACGAAUGGCGUAAUGAUGGCCAGGCUGUCUCCACCCGAGACUCAGUGAAAUUGAACUCGCUGUGAAGAUGCAGUGUACCCGCGGCAAGACGGAAAGACCCCGUGAACCUUUACUAUAGCUUGACACUGAACAUUGAGCCUUGAUGUGUAGGAUAGGUGGGAGGCUUUGAAGUGUGGACGCCAGUCUGCAUGGAGCCGACCUUGAAAUACCACCCUUUAAUGUUUGAUGU